This 337-nucleotide unclassified non-coding RNA is filed under the name Hevea brasiliensis (rubber tree). Lineage: Eukaryota; Viridiplantae; Streptophyta; Magnoliopsida; Malpighiales; Euphorbiaceae. The record is from RNAcentral.
UACAUGGUUUCUACAGUUUCAGCCAAAGCUAAAGCAAGAGCUAACAGCAAUCCCAAGGAGGGGUUUCCAGGGACCCCAAGCAGUGAAAAAAGGAGGCUUUCAUUCCCUUUGACACAAGGCGUUGGAUCAUUCAAGUGGAACAAAGGGUCCUCAUUCUCUAACAAGGAUUCAAGUUCUCAAAGGGGUUUAGAUAAACAUGAGUCACUUCAAUCCAUAGGAAAUUUGAGUGUGGAUUCAACCGUCUCUAUGCCUGCCACGGUUGGAAGAAAGCCAUUUAACCGAUUUGUGUGAUUUUACUUUUCAUAAAUUUUUAACAAUUUUUUUUUUUUCAUACUUU